This 943-nucleotide long non-coding RNA is filed under the name Volvox carteri. RNAcentral describes it as "long non-coding RNA (VCAR_LNC003550)". Lineage: Eukaryota; Viridiplantae; Chlorophyta; Chlorophyceae; Chlamydomonadales; Volvocaceae. The record is from RNAcentral.
GAGCUAGGAGCCGCUUUCCUCCGCCGUUCCUCCCCAGUAAGCAGGUCCAGCAGAGCAAGUCCGAGCGUCCACCUACCACACCGGCGAAUAUGCUGUUGGCUAUUGCACAUCCUACGGGGCGCACAUUCUCUGCGCGUAAGCAAAGCGAUAUGUAUGGUUGUUACAGUGGGCUCCAGACUCGUGAAGAGUAGAGCCAGCGGGCCAGCGGGCCAGCUGGCCGUGCAUUGCUACUGCCACCUGAGACGUUCAGGGCAGUCAGGACCCCCUCUCCCCGACCAUCAGGGCAAACAAGUCACCUAGACAGCAGCAAGCGAACCCAAAGGGAAGGGGACUCAGAAACCCACCACCACGGGACGUUUGCCAACAGGCUCCCCAGUUGGCGAAAUGCCCCGGACCCCCACCAGAAGGCCCAUCAGCAACAACAGAUACUGACAGGAACUUUGCACGUGGUUACUAGAUGAGGCCUGUGGCCCAAAAAUCCGCAAAACGAAAGAAACUGAAAAGAGAGCCUGAUCAACGAAUAGCUAAUCGUCCAUCUGUGUCAGCUCCCGUGAAAAUAACAACUUGCCCGAUACAAUUCGCGCGAAACGGUGAUGUGACCCGACCAAAUCCCAUAGGAUCCCAUCCUUUCCGAGGAACUCACAGAGCUAUGAACACGCCCAUGGAUUAGGGGGGAAGUGAAAACACCAAGUGAAAACACCAUUUUGGUUUCGGGCUGGACUGCAGGAAAUUUACAGAGUUCACAAGCAGUACAAUCGGUAGUUAAGUUCAGGAAAUGGUAAACGAUUAAAUUUAGGCGAUUGAUGAACGAUAUUAUAUUCAGCCUUAGGAUUUCGCUGUCGUGGCCCUUGUCGUGGCUAGUCGGGGCCGUGCGGGGCCACGACUGCAGGCUCAGGUUGGCUACGGCCAGACCUCAAUAUGAUCGGAUUUUUUCUCAUCCUAC